GACGAACGCUGGCGGCGUGCUUAACACAUGCAAGUCGAACGGAAAGGCCCUGCUUGCUGGGUACUCGAGUGGCGAACGGGUGAGUAACACGUGGGUGCUCUGCCCUGCACUUCGGGAUAAGCCUGGGAAACUGGGUCUAAUACCGGAUAGGAGCCAUUUUUAGUGUGAUGGUUGGAAAGUUUUUUCGGUGUAGGAUGAGCUGGCGGCCUAUCAGCUUGUUGGUGGGGUAAUGGCCUACCAAGGCGCCGACGGGUAGCCGGCCUGUGGGGGUGGACCGCCACAUUGGCUCUGACGUGAGGCCCCGACUCCUACUGGAGGCCGAAGUGGGGAAGAUUGCACCAGGGGCGCCAGCCUGGUGCAGAGGCGCCGCGUGGGGUAUGGCGGCCUUCGGGUUGUAAACUCGCUUCGCUAGGGACGAAGCUUUUUGUGACGGUACCUAGAUAAGAAGCACCGGCUAACUACGUG
RNAcentral lists this ribosomal RNA (465 nucleotides) under uncultured bacterium. RNAcentral's name for it is "partial 16S ribosomal RNA". It matches the Rfam family "Bacterial small subunit ribosomal RNA", at positions 28 to 507 of the family's 1533-position model. The record is from RNAcentral.